GUUUAGGUAACUUAAAUCCUUGGACUUAGAGUAUAUUGUAUUAGUUAAACAAAAAUACCUAGAUCAUCACUUAGUAAGAGAAUGCUGAAACAUUGUCACUCAGCAUAAUUUAAACUGUGUACUCCUUUCAUCCUUCCUUCUCUCACAGCCUGCAGCAUCUUAGUUCCCGGAGCAGGGACUGAACCCCGGCGCCAGCAGAGAAAGAGCUGUGUCUUAACCUCUGGACUGAGAGGGAGUUGCCUAGAUCUUACAUCCUCUUGCUUCUCACUUCUCUUUGCUGCAGAGGGCUGUGUCUUUGUGUCUGUAGUGAGUGUGCUCAUACGCGCUCAUCUCUCAUGCUGAGCUGUGCUGUGCGUCCUCGUGGGCUCUGCUCGUCUGCGGCAGCUGGUGUGCCUCAGACAGUGCACGGUUGUCCCCCUGCUAUCUCUGAACUGAAGUUAGUUGCUUUGGGAAAAGUUAUCAUUAAUAUGUAGUUUAGACCAAGUUGGAGAAACUCAUCUGGGUACAUAGAUCUAUUUUUCAAGGAAAACAGUAGUUUUAUCCUAAAGAAGUAUUUGGGUUUUUUUUAGUCUCCAUCCCCUUUCUGCACUCUUCAAGCUUAUUGAGGACCCCAAAACCUUUCUCUGUGCUUGUAACUACUGACAUUUCAUGUUUUGGAAAUUGAAAAAACAUUGAAAUGCUUACUCAUUGAUUCAUUUGACAAUAGCAGCAGUGAAUGCACUGUGCAUUAAUGAUAUCUUAGUGAUGUUAUGAAAUUAGUUCUGACCAUGUGAACACCCAGUGUUGUGGUCUGAAAAUCCACCCCCUAAAAUACAUAUGUUGAAAUCCUGUCUUCUAGAGAUGAUGGUGUUAGCAGGUAGGGCUUUUGGGAGGAGGUUAACUUAUGAAAAGGAUUAGUGCUCUUAUAAAAUGGACUCCAGGGACUUCCCUCUUGGUUCAGGGGCUAAGACUCUGCAUUCCCAGUGCAGGGGACCUGGGUAAGAUGCCUGGUCAUAGAACUGGAUCCUGCAUGCUGCAACUAAAGAUCCUGUGUGCUGCAAUUAAGACCCAGUGGGAUCAAAUAAAUAAAUAUUUGUUUGAAAAAUGAGGCUCAAGGGAUACCCCCUUCAUUUAUGUACAUGAAUAAGGAGAAGCCUGCCGCCUGGAAAAAGGUCCUCAUCCCACCACACUGGCACUUAAAUCUUGGAUUUCCAGCCUCUAGAACUGUGAGAAAUACAUUCCUGUUGUUUAUAAGAGAUGUAGUCUGUGGUAUUUUGUUAUAGCAGCCUGAAUGGCCUAGGACACCUUGAGAUCAGUCUAGAGUAUAGUGCCCGUUUGUCCCAGAAUAUCAGAGUUCAAUGAAAGAAAGUUUGGAAAUGAAUUUUGUUUGCCUUGAUUUAUAAUACCAGAAUCUGAAAAGUUAAAAUUUUAGCUUUGCUCAAUUUCAUGGGCUUGUUUCCUUGGUUUACUGUUGAUUACCUUCACCUAAAACUUAAGGAUCACUUAUUCUAUUAUUUCUAAACAACAAAAAUUCUGUAUCUUACCAGAAUAGCCUUCUUUAGUUUGUAUUGAUUUAUCAUGUCUUUGAUUAAUUAGAAGCCAAAGUUCCUCAUUUAAGAAUGGGUUAAGAUUCUUUGCAGGUCUUCCCAGGUGGCUCAGUGGUGAAGAAUUCACCUGCCAAGGCAGGAGACACAAGAGAUGCAGAUUAUAUCCCUGGGUCAGAAGGACCCCCUGGAUGGGAGCAUGGCAACCCUCUCCAGUAUUCUUGUCUGGAAAAUCCCAUGGACAGAGGAAUCUGGCGGUCUGUACAGUACAUGGGGUCACAAAGUGUUGAGACACGACUUAGCAACUGAGCAUGAGGGGCUGGAAUGCAAAAGUAAGAAGUCAAGAAACACCUGGAGUAACAGGCAAAUUUGGCCUUGGAAUAUGGAAUAAAGCAGGGCAAAGACUAAUAUAGUUUUGCCAAGAAAAUGCACUGGUCAUAACAAACACCCUCUUCCAACAACACAAGAGAAGACUCUAUACAUGGACAUCACCAGAUGGUCAACACCGAAAUCAGAUUGAUUAUAUUCUGUGCAGCCAAAGAUGGAGAAGCUCUAUACAGUCAGCAAAAACAAGACCAGGAGCUGACUGUGGCUCAGACCAUGAAAUCCUUAUUGCCAAAUUCAGACUAAAAUUGAAGAAAGUAGGGAAAACCACUAGAUCAUUCAGGUAUGACCUAAAUCAAAUCCCUUAUGAUUAUACAGUGGAAGUGAGAAAUAGAUUUAAGGGCCUAGAUCUGAUAGAUAGAGUGCCUGAUGAACUAUGGAAUGAGGUUCAUGACAUUGUACAGGAGACAGGGAUCAAGACCAUUCCCAUAGAAAAGAAAUGCAAAAAAAGCAAAAUGGCUGUCUGGGGAGGGCUUACAAAUAGCUGUGAAAAGAAGAGAAGCGAAAAGCAAAGGAGAAAAGGAAAGAUAUAAACAUCUGAAUGCAGAGUUCCAAAGAAUAGCAAGAAGAGAUAAGAAAGCCUUCUUUAGCGAUCAAUGCAAAGAAAUAGAGGAAAACAACAGAAUGGGAAAGACUAGAGAUCUCUUCAAGAAAAUUAGAGAUACCAAGGGAACAUUUCAUGCAAAGAUGGGCUCGAUAAAGGACAGAAAUGUUAUGGACUAACAAGCAGAAGAUAGUAAGAAGAGGUGGCAAGAAUACACAGAAGAACUGUACAAAAAAGAUCUUCACGACCCAGAUAAGCAUGAUGGUGUAAUCACUCAUCUAGAGCCAGACAUCCUGGAAUGUGAAGUCAAGUGGGCCUUAGAAAGCAUCACUACGAACAAAGCUAGUGGAGGUGAUGGAAUUCCAGUGGAGCUAUUUCAAAUCCUGAAAGAUGAUGCUGUGAAAAUGCUGCACUCAAUAUGCCAGCAAAUUUGGAAAACUCAGCAGUGGCCACAGGACUGGAAAAGGUCAGUUUUCAUUCCAAUCCCAAAGAAAGGCAAUGCCAAAGAAUGCUCAAACUACCGCACAAUUGCACUCAUCUCACAUGCUAGUAAAGUAAUGCUCAAAAUUCUCCAAGCCAGGCUUCAGCAAUAUGUGAGCCAUGAACUUCCAGAUGUUCAAGCUGGUUUUAGAAAAGGCAAAGGAACCAGAGAUCAAAUUGCCAACAUCCGCUGGAUCAUGGAAAAAGCAAG
Bos taurus (domestic cattle) is the source of this 3142-nucleotide long non-coding RNA. The record is from Ensembl. NCBI's taxonomy places the organism in Eukaryota, Metazoa, Chordata, Mammalia, Artiodactyla, Bovidae.